RNAcentral lists this ribosomal RNA (492 nucleotides) under uncultured bacterium. Its description in RNAcentral is "partial 16S ribosomal RNA". It matches the Rfam family "Bacterial small subunit ribosomal RNA", at positions 29 to 507 of the family's 1533-position model. The record is from RNAcentral.
AGUGAACGCUGGCGGUAGGCCUAACACAUGCAAGUCGAACGGCAGCACAGUAAGAGCUUGCUCUUACGGGUGGCGAGUGGCGGACGGGUGAGGAAUACAUCGGAAUCUACUUUUUCGUGGGGGAUAACGUAGGGAAACUUACGCUAAUACCGCAUACGACCUACGGGUGAAAGCAGGGGAUCUUCGGACCUUGCGCGAUUGAAUGAGCCGAUGUCGGGUUAGCUAGUUGGCGGGGUAAAGGCCCACCAAGGCAACGAUCCGUAGCUGGUCUGAGAGGAUGAUCAGCCACACUGGAACUGAGACACGGUCCAGACUCCUACGGGAGGCAGCAGUGGGGAAUAUUGGACAAUGGGCGCAAGCCUGAUCCAGCCAUACCGCGUGGGUGAAGAAGGCCUUCGGGUUGUAAAGCCCUUUUGUUGGGAAAGAAAAGCAGCAGGUUAAUACCCCGCUGUUCUGACGGUACCCAAAGAAUAAGCACCGGCUAACUUCGUG